AGAGUUUGACCUGGCUCAGAUUGAACGCUGGCGGCGUGCCUAACACAUGCAAGUCGAACGGGGAUUUUGUUUCGGCAGAAUCCUAGUGGCGAACGGGUGAGUAACGCGUAGGCAACCUGCCCUCCGGCCGGGGACAACACUCCGAAAGGGGUGCUAAUACCGGAUACGAAGUCUGUGCCGCAUGGUACGGAUUUGAAAGAUGGCCUCUAUUUAUAAGCUAUCGCCGGGGGAUGGGCCUGCGUCCGAUUAGCUGGUUGGUGGGGUAACGGCCUACCAAGGCGACGAUCGGUAGCCGGUCUGAGAGGAUGAACGGCCACAUUGGGACUGAGACACGGCCCAGACUCCUACGGGAGGCAGCAGUGGGGAAUCUUCCGCAAUGGGGGAAACCCUGAUGCAGCGACGCCGCGUGAGUGAAGAAGUAUUUCGGUAUGUAAAGCUCUAUCAGCAGGGAAGAAAAUGACGGUACCUGACUAAGAAGCUCCGGCUAAAUACGUGCCAGCAGCCGCGGU
This 509-nucleotide ribosomal RNA is filed under the name uncultured Succiniclasticum sp. Its description in RNAcentral is "bacterial SSU rRNA". It matches the Rfam family "Bacterial small subunit ribosomal RNA", at positions 8 to 521 of the family's 1533-position model. Lineage: Bacteria; Bacillati; Bacillota; Negativicutes; Acidaminococcales; Acidaminococcaceae. The record is from RNAcentral.